This 383-nucleotide ribosomal RNA is filed under the name Myriotrema neofrondosum. RNAcentral's name for it is "SSU rRNA". It matches the Rfam family "Bacterial small subunit ribosomal RNA", at positions 362 to 741 of the family's 1533-position model. Lineage: Eukaryota; Fungi; Ascomycota; Lecanoromycetes; Ostropales; Graphidaceae. The record is from RNAcentral.
UAUUGGUCAAUAGCCUAACGGCUGAACCAGCAACUUGGAGGAAUGUAUAGGGAAAACUGGUAAAAUGUGAUGUACCUAGUAAUAUUAGUAAUUAAUAUGAGAUUAACUAAGUUAAUUAAAAUUCUAAAUAGAUACUGAUUAUGACAAUAUCUAGAUAAGUCUUGACCAAGUCACGUGCCAGCAGUCGCGGUAAUACGUGGUAGACAAGUGUUAUUCAUCUUUAUUAGGUUUAAAGGGUACCUAGACGGUUAAUUAAGCAAAAACAUGUACUAAUUAACUAGAGUUUGAUGUAAGAAGGGUUGAGUACGGUGAGUGGAGAGAUAAAAUGCUUUGAUACAAUUUAGGAACUGGUAAAGGCGAAGGCAACCUUCUAUGUAAAAACU